Molecule: long non-coding RNA, 1524 nt
Organism: Oncorhynchus masou masou (cherry salmon)
Lineage: Eukaryota; Metazoa; Chordata; Actinopteri; Salmoniformes; Salmonidae
Exons: 5
Source: RefSeq, a predicted model, not a curated record
AGGGGAAGGAUAUGAAAGAGACGGAGAGGGGAACGGUGAGAGGGGAGGCGAGAUGGACUUCAUCACUACUUGUUUUUUUGUGUCAAGUUGGCGUAAUGUUGCGGGACCACAGGAAGAGUAGCUGCUGUCUUGGCAAGAACUACAGGGGAUCCAAAGUGGCAGUAAAGCCUAGAAAACUCAUCUGUAAUGUUGGGAGAUCACAUGACGGUCUACAAAUGACAAAUACCAUCUCGCUUGGUACCUGUGAGAGGACAGCAGAUCAUUACACUUCGGAAAGAGAAGCCCCAUCCACCUAAGUGAACAGAAGGUAAAGUAUCCCUGCCAAACAGAGAAAUGGUCCAAGAGCCACCCACCAGACGUCCACCAGACGCCCACCGGACGCCCACCGAACGCCCACCGGACGUCCACCGGACGCCCACCGGACGUCCACCGGACGCCCACCGGACGCCCACCGGACGCCCACCGGACGCCCACCGGACGCCCACCGGACGUCCACCAGACGUCCACCAGACGUCCACACUUCAGUGUAUAGUGCUGUGUUGUGUGUGUACUUGCGUGAGUGAGUGUGUUUGUGUGACAGCAUAUACCAGACGGUGUGUGUGUUCCCUCCCAAUUACAUCCAUAUACAUGACCAUAAUGGGGACGGAAGUGUCAACAAGGGAUCGCCAACAGACAGCUGAACUAUCAUGUUUUAUCAGGACUUUCUCUCUCUCUCUCUGUCUGUGACCCUCUAUCUCUCUGUCUGUGACUCUCUCUCUCUCUCUCUCUGUGACUUUCUCUCUCUCUCUCUGUCUGUGACCCUCUAUCUCUCUGUCUGACUCUCUCUCUCUCUCUCUCUGUGACUCUCUCUCUCUCUCUCUCUCUGACUCUCUCUCUCUCUGUGUGACUCUCUCUCUCUGUCUGUGACUCUCUCUCUCUCUCUGUCUGUGACUCUCUCUCUCUCUCCGUGACUCUCUCGCUCUCUCUCUGUGACUCUCUAUCUCUCUCUCUCUCUCUCUGUGACUCUCUCGCUCGCUCUCUCUCUGUGACUCUCUAUCUCGCUCUGUUUGUGACUCUCUCUCUGUCUGUGUGUGACUCUCUCUCUCUGUCUGUGACGCUAUAUCUCUCUCGGUCUGUGACUCUCAAUCUAUCUCUCUCUGUCUGUGACUCUAUCUCUGUGUGUGUGUGUGUGUGACUCUCUACCUCACUCUGUCUCUCUCUCUCUCUCUCUCUCUCUCUCUCUCUCUCUCUCUCUCUCUCUCUCUCUCUCGCUUUCUCUCCCUUUCUGUGACUCUCUAUCAAUUCAAUUGAAUUCAAGGGCUUUAUUGGCAUGGGAAACAUGUGUUAACAUUGCCAAAACAAGUGAGGUAGAUAAUAUAUAAAGUGAAUAUAUAAAGUGAAAUAAACAAUAAAAAUUAGCAGUAAACAUUACACAUACAGAAGUUUCAAAACAAUAAAGACAUUACAAAUGUCAUAUUAUAUAUAUACAGUGUUUUAACAAUGUACAAAUGGUAAAGGACACAAAAUAAAUAAUCAUAAAUAUGG